CCUACGGGAGGCAGCAGUGGGGAAUAUUGGACAAUGGGCGAAAGCCUGAUCCAGCAACGCCGCGUGGAGGACGAAGGCCUUCGGGUUGUAAACUCCUGUCAGGUGGGGCGAAAAGGCAUCGGUUAAUACCCGGUGUCCCUGACGGUACCACCAGAGGAAGCCCCGGCUAACUCCGUGCCAGCAGCCGCGGU
This 191-nucleotide ribosomal RNA is filed under the name uncultured bacterium. RNAcentral describes it as "partial 16S ribosomal RNA". It matches the Rfam family "Bacterial small subunit ribosomal RNA", at positions 338 to 521 of the family's 1533-position model. The record is from RNAcentral.